AUGGGACACUGUUGGGACCGCCUCUGCUAAAGAGGAGGAAGGAAUGGGCAACGGUAGGUCAGCAUGCCCCGAAUUAUCCGGGCUACACGCGGGCUACAAUGGUCAGGACAAUGGGUAUCGACACCGAGAGGUGGAGGCAAUCUCCUAAACCUGUCCUUAGUUCGGAUUGUGGGCUGCAACUCGCCCACAUGAAGCUGGAAUCCGCAGUAAUCGCGUUUCAAAAUAGCGCGGUGAAUAUGUCCCUGCUCCUU
Molecule: ribosomal RNA, 251 nt
Filed under: uncultured Methanolinea sp.
Lineage: Archaea; Methanobacteriati; Methanobacteriota; Methanomicrobia; Methanomicrobiales; Methanoregulaceae
Description: partial 16S ribosomal RNA
Rfam family: Archaeal small subunit ribosomal RNA
Source: RNAcentral